This 238-nucleotide ribosomal RNA is filed under the name Escherichia coli. Its description in RNAcentral is "partial 23S ribosomal RNA". It matches the Rfam family "Bacterial large subunit ribosomal RNA", at positions 560 to 800 of the family's 2925-position model. Lineage: Bacteria; Pseudomonadati; Pseudomonadota; Gammaproteobacteria; Enterobacterales; Enterobacteriaceae. The record is from RNAcentral.
GUACGUACAAGCAGUGGGAGCACGCUUAGGCGUGUGACUGCGUACCUUUUGUAUAAUGGGUCAGCGACUUAUAUUCGGUAGCAAGGUUAACCGAAUAGGGGAGCCGAAGGGAAACCGAGUCUUAACUGGGCGUUAAGUUGCAGGGUAUACACCCGAAAACCGGUGAAAUAGCCAUGGGCAGGUUGAAGGUUGGGUAACACUAACUGGAGGACCGAACCGACUAAUGUUGAAAAAUUAG